Nematostella vectensis (starlet sea anemone) is the source of this 83-nucleotide non-coding RNA. The record is from Rfam. Lineage: Eukaryota; Metazoa; Cnidaria; Anthozoa; Actiniaria; Edwardsiidae.
ACCAGGAUGGCCGAGUGGUUAAGGCGUUGGACUUAAGUUCAAAUGUACGGAUGUACGCGUGGGUUCGAACCCCACUCCUGUUA